CCUACGGGUGGCAGCAGUGAGGAAUAUUGGUCAAUGGACGAGAGUCUGAACCAGCCAAGUAGCGUGAAGGAUGACUGCCCUAUGGGUUGUAAACUUCUUUUAUAUGGGAAUAAAAUGUUCCACGUGUGGGAUUUGUAUGUACCAUAUGAAUAAGGAUCGGCUAACUACGUGCCAGCAGCCGCGGUAAUACGGGGGAUCCGAGCGUUAUCCGGAUUUAUUGGGGUUAAAGGGAGCGUAGGUGGGUUGUUAAGUCAGUUGUGAAAGGUUGCGGCUCAACCGUAAAAUUGCAGUUGAAUCUGGCAGUCUUGAGUACAGUAGAGGUGGGCGGAAUUCGUGGUGUAGCGGUGAAAUGCUUAGAGAUCACGAAGAACUCCGAUUGCGAAGGCAGUUCACUAGACUGCAACUGACACUGAUGCUCGAAAGUGUGGGUAUCAAACAGGAUUAGAUACCCGAGUAGUC
Molecule: ribosomal RNA, 459 nt
Filed under: uncultured bacterium
Lineage: Bacteria
Description: partial 16S ribosomal RNA
Rfam family: Bacterial small subunit ribosomal RNA
Source: RNAcentral